Molecule: ribosomal RNA, 255 nt
Filed under: uncultured bacterium
Lineage: Bacteria
Description: partial 16S ribosomal RNA
Rfam family: Bacterial small subunit ribosomal RNA
Source: RNAcentral
GACAGAGGGUGCGAACGUUGUUCGGAAUUACUGGGCGUAAAGCGCAUGUAGGCGGCAGCGCAAGUCGGGCGUGAAAUCCCACGGCUCAACCGUGGAAGUGCACUCGAAACUGCGCAGCUAGAGUCCUGGAGAGGAAGGUGGAAUGCUUGGUGUAGAGGUGAAAUUCGUAGAUAUCAAGCGGAACACCGGUGGCGAAGGCGGCCUUACUGGACAGUGACUGACGCUGAGAGUGCGAAAGCGUGGGGAGCAAACAGG